This 183-nucleotide non-coding RNA is filed under the name Desulforamulus ferrireducens. RNAcentral describes it as "Desulfotomaculum ferrireducens 6S / SsrS RNA". It matches the Rfam family "6S / SsrS RNA". Rfam says of the family: E. coli 6S RNA was the first non coding RNA to be sequenced, but its function was unknown until recently. Lineage: Bacteria; Bacillati; Bacillota; Clostridia; Eubacteriales; Peptococcaceae. The record is from Rfam by way of RNAcentral.
CAUAUCCUGCUUUGUGCGCCACUUGAUGAUUUUUAAAACCACAGUGUAUUUACGGGAGUCAAACUUAGCUUGCGAAUAUCAAGCCGUGUUUGGUUUGGCGGAAGAUAGCAACAAGCUAGAGGACACCCACCUGCGAGAUGCGGGUAUUUAAAAACAACAAGUGGACGGCAUAGUGGGGAAAGA